AGGACAAACGCUGGCGGCGUGCUUAACACACGCAAGUCGAGCGGAAAGGCCUUUCGGGGUACUCGAGCGGCGAACGGGUGAGUAACACGUGAGUAAUCUGCCCAUCGCUUCAGGAUAGCCAUCGGAAACGGUGAUUAAUACUGGAUAUGACAUUCCUUCGCAUGUUGGGGUGUGGAAAGUUUUUUCGGCGGUGGAUGUGCUCGCGGCCUAUCAGCUUGUUGGUGGGGUAAUGGCCUACCAAGGCUUUGACGGGUAGCCGGCCUGAGAGGGUGACCGGCCACACUGGGACUGAGACACGGCCCAGACUCCUACGGGAGGCAGCAGUGGGGAAUAUUGGACAAUGGGCGAAGCCUGAUCCAG
RNAcentral lists this ribosomal RNA (360 nucleotides) under uncultured soil bacterium. RNAcentral's name for it is "bacterial SSU rRNA". It matches the Rfam family "Bacterial small subunit ribosomal RNA", at positions 26 to 391 of the family's 1533-position model. The record is from RNAcentral.